This 253-nucleotide ribosomal RNA is filed under the name uncultured bacterium. Its description in RNAcentral is "partial 16S ribosomal RNA". It matches the Rfam family "Bacterial small subunit ribosomal RNA", at positions 524 to 776 of the family's 1533-position model. The record is from RNAcentral.
UACGUAUGGAGCAAGCGUUAUCCGGAUUUACUGGGUGUAAAGGGAGUGUAGGUGGUAGCACAAGUCAGAAGUGAAAGCCCGGGGCUCAACCCCGGGACUGCUUUUGAAACUGUGGAACUAGAGUGCAGGAGAGGUAAGUGGAAUUCCUAGUGUAGCGGUGAAAUGCGUAGAUAUUAGGAGGAACACCAGUGGCGAAGGCGGCUUACUGGACUGUAACUGACACUGAGGCUCGAAAGCGUGGGGAGCAAACAGG